This 1235-nucleotide ribosomal RNA is filed under the name metagenome. RNAcentral describes it as "bacterial LSU rRNA". It matches the Rfam family "Bacterial large subunit ribosomal RNA", at positions 1564 to 2808 of the family's 2925-position model. The record is from RNAcentral.
UGAAUACGAGAUACUACGGUGUCGAAGCAGUCUAUGUCAUACUUCCAAGAAAAGCUUGCACUGUCAUAACAAAUAAUGCCUGUACCAUAACCGACACAGGUGGGUAGGUAGAGUAUACUAAGGGGCGCGAGAUAACUCUCUCUAAGGAACUCGGCAAAAUGACUCCGUAACUUCGGGAGAAGGAGUGCCUUAUAUUUAUAAGGUUGCAAUAACAAGAUCCAAGCAACUGUUUAUCAAAAACACAGGUCUCCGCUAAGUCGUAAGACGAUGUAUGGGGGCUGACGCCUGCCCAGUGCCAGAAGGUUAAAGAAGUUGGUUAGCUUUUGCGAAGCUGAUAACUGAAGCCCUGGUGAACGGCGGCCGUAACGAUAACGGUCCUAAGGUAGCGAAAUUCCUUGUCGGGUAAGUUCCGACCCGCACGAAAGGCGUAAUGAUUUGGAUACUGUCUCGGAGAGGGACUCGGUGAAAUAGACUUGUCUGUGAAGAGGCGGACUACUUGCACCAGGACAGAAAGACCCUAUGAAGCUUUACUGUAACCUGAAAUUGAAAUUGGACUUUACUUGCGCAGGAUAGGUGGGAGGCUUUGAGAAUAUUCUUGCGGGAAUAUUGGAGCCAUCAGUGAGAUACCACUCUGGUAAUGUUAGAUUUCUAACUUUGUAUCAUUAUCUGGUCAAAGAACAGUUUCAGGCGGGCAGUUUGACUGGGGCGGUCGCCUCCUAAACGGUAACGGAGGCGCACAAAGGUUUCCUCUGAACGGGUAGAAAUCGUAUCUAGAGUGUAAAGGCAUAAGGAAGCUUGACUGUGAGACCUACAAGUCGAGCAGGGACGAAAGUCGGUCUUAGUGAUCUGACGGUGCUGAGUGGAAAGGCCGUCACUCAACGGAUAAAAGUUACUCUAGGAUAACAGGCUGAUCUCCCCCAAGAGCUCACAUCGACGGGGAGGUUUGGCACCUCGAUGUCGGCUCAUCGCAUCCUGGGGCGGUAGUAUGUCCCAAGGGUUGGGCUGUUCGCCCAUGAAAGCGGUACGCGAGCUGGGUUCAGAACGUCGUGAGACAGUUCGGUCCAUAUCCGGUGUAAGCGUUAGAAUAUUGAGAGGAGCCUUCUUUGGUACGAGAGGACCGAGAAGGAUGCACCGCUGGUGUACCAGUUAUUGUGCCAACAGUAAACGCUGGGUAGCUAUGUGUGGAGUGGAUAACCGCUGAAAGCAUCUAAGUGGGAAGCCCACCUCAAGAUAAG